Non-coding RNA from Acanthosepion pharaonis, 84 nucleotides. The record is from the annotation of a GenBank genome assembly. NCBI's taxonomy places the organism in Eukaryota, Metazoa, Mollusca, Cephalopoda, Sepiida, Sepiidae.
CUCAUACAAUCACUGAAGUUAAGCAACAUCGAGCCUAGUCAGUACCUAGAUGAGUGACCACUUGGGAAUAACAGGUGCUGUAAG